Molecule: ribosomal RNA, 478 nt
Filed under: uncultured Nitrospira sp.
Lineage: Bacteria; Pseudomonadati; Nitrospirota; Nitrospiria; Nitrospirales; Nitrospiraceae
Description: bacterial SSU rRNA
Rfam family: Bacterial small subunit ribosomal RNA
Source: RNAcentral
GAUGGGCUCAUGUCCUAUCAGCUUGUUGGCGGGGUAAUGGCCCACCAAGGCUGCGACGGGUAGCUGGUCUGAGAGGACGACCAGCCACACUGGCACUGCGACACGGGCCAGACUCCUACGGGAGGCAGCAGUGAGGAAUAUUGCGCAAUGGACGACAGUCUGACGCAGCGACGCCGCGUGGGGGAUGAAGGCCUUCGGGUUGUAAACCCCUUUCGGGAGGGAAGAUGGGACGGGCAACCGUUCGGACGGUACCUCCAGAAGCAGCCACGGCUAACUCUGUGCCAGCAGCCGCGGUAAGACAGAGGUGGCAAGCGUUGUUCGGAUUUACUGGGCGUAAAGGGUGCGUAGGUGGUUAGGUAAGACCUGUGGGAAAGACCUGGGCUUAACCCAGGAAGGUCGCAGGUGACUGCCUAGCUAGAGGGCGGGAGAGGAGCGCGGAAUUCCCGGUGUAGCGGUGAAAUGCGUAGAGAUCGGGAGG